AUUGAACGCUGGCGGCAUGCUUUACACAUGCAAGUCGAGCGGCAGCGCGGGGGGCAACCCUGGCGGCGAGCGGCGAACGGGUGAGGAAUACAUCGGAACGUACCCCGGAGUGGGGGAUAACGCCGCGAAAGCGGCGCUAAUACCGCAUAUGCUCUGAGGAGGAAAGUGGGGGACCGCAAGGCCUCACGCUCUGGGAGCGGCCGAUGUCCGAUUAGCUGGUUGGUGGGGUAAAAGGCCCACCAAGGCGACGAUCGGUAGCUGGUCUGAGAGGAUGAUCAGCCACACUGGGACUGAGACACGGCCCAGACUCCUACGGGAGGCAGCAGUGGGGAAUUUGGACAAUGGGGCGAACCCUGAUCCAGCCAUGCCGCGUGCGGGAAG
RNAcentral lists this ribosomal RNA (381 nucleotides) under uncultured bacterium. RNAcentral's name for it is "bacterial SSU rRNA". It matches the Rfam family "Bacterial small subunit ribosomal RNA", at positions 28 to 410 of the family's 1533-position model. The record is from RNAcentral.